RNAcentral lists this ribosomal RNA (386 nucleotides) under uncultured bacterium. Its description in RNAcentral is "bacterial SSU rRNA". It matches the Rfam family "Bacterial small subunit ribosomal RNA", at positions 29 to 417 of the family's 1533-position model. The record is from RNAcentral.
AUUGAACGCUGGCGGCAUGCCUUACACAUGCAAGUCGAACGGCAGCACGGGAGCAAUCCUGGUGGCGAGUGACGAACGGGUGAGUAAUACAUCGGAACGUGCCCAGUAGUGGGGGAUAACCCGGCGAAAGCCGGACUAAUACCGCAUACGACCUACGGGUGAAAGCAGGGGAUCGCAAGACCUUGCGCUAUCGGAGCGGCCGAUGUCAGAUUAGCUUGUUGGCGGGGUAAAAGCCACCAAGGCGACGAUCUGUAGCUGGUCUGAGAGGACGACCAGCCACACUGGGACUGAGACACGGCCCAGACUCCUACGGGAGGCAGCAGUGGGGAAUUUUGGACAAUGGGCGCAAGCCUGAUCCAGCCAUGCCGCGUGCGGGAAGAAGGCCU